RNAcentral lists this long non-coding RNA (1090 nucleotides) under Polistes fuscatus (common paper wasp). Its description in RNAcentral is "uncharacterized LOC122523356, transcript variant X1". The record is from RNAcentral. Lineage: Eukaryota; Metazoa; Arthropoda; Insecta; Hymenoptera; Vespidae.
UGCAACUCAUUGUCGUUGCACUCGCUGCCGCGUUGAAGGCUCGUGUUAUUCGCAAAUUUAAAUUACGAACGACCAUCUCCCAGGACUCCGUAAAACGUACAAGCUCCCGCGUAUAGAGCUUCCACAGGUAGGUGACAUAAGACAUGAAAUAUGGAAAAAGACGUGCAUUCGCCAUUCCUAAAAAAAUAUCCAAAUUUGACGAUCAAUGAGACCGAUGACGAUGUUCCCGUUCGCAAGUAGUAAGCUGCUUAAAUAUUACUGACUAUAUCUGACAUCAUUGAUGCUUGACCUAUUUUACUUAAAAAAAAAAAUAUUUUCUGAAAGUAUAAUAAAAAUGAAAGUAAAAGAAAACAAUUUGUUUCUUCCAAAGCUCGUAUAUAAUAAUUAUAUUAAUUAUAUUAUAAUACAACAUAUCACGUUAAUGCAAUUGACAUCCUCUUGAUAAACGUUCUAUAGUUACGUAAGACUAUAUACAAAAAAAAUAAUUAGAAGAAAGGAAAGAAUCACUUCCACUGACCUACUGCAACAUGCACGCUUGCGCCGUUCGAGACGAAUGCUAGAGUCAUGGUGUGUAUUUACACGUGGUUUCCGGCGCGAACGAUGACAGCCGUGGGACGACAUACUCGUCCAUUUUUUGGCUGGUAGAUACACGAGUAACAAAAUUACUCGUGAACACGCGCACGUAUACACACGGGGCCUAACGACUACAUGAAUCUACCAACCUCUCGUGUAUUCCUAAAAGAGAAAAAGAGAGAAAAAGAGAGAGAGAGAGAGAGAAACAUGUAUAGAAUAUGCAACUCGCACGUGCACAAAAACCUCCCACGUAAUAUACGUUGCCGCGUAGCUCUAACGAUACAUAAACAUCGGGAGGAUCGAUGGUGGGAGGAGGAAUAAAAGGGAGUGAGAAAGAGGGAGAAGGGAGAUGAAAAAGCGAGGCGCGGUUGAACAUAAGAGAGAAAGAGAAAGAAAACAAAGUGAAGAGAGAAAGAGAGAGAGAAGAAUCCAAUGGGAUGAUGCGAGAGUGAAACAGGGAUAGAAAAGUAGUCAUGUAUGUAUGAAAGACAGAUAGAGGUAGGUACAGAAAGAGAAA